This 174-nucleotide ribosomal RNA is filed under the name uncultured bacterium. RNAcentral's name for it is "partial 16S ribosomal RNA". It matches the Rfam family "Bacterial small subunit ribosomal RNA", at positions 1327 to 1500 of the family's 1533-position model. The record is from RNAcentral.
UGGAAUCGCUAGUAAUCGCAGGUCAGCAUACUGCGGUGAAUACGUUCCCGGGUCUUGUACACACCGCCCGUCACACCAUGGGAGUCGGGAAUGCCCGAAGUCAGUGACCCAACCUAUUGGAGGGAGCUGCCGAAGGCAGGUCUGAUAACUGGGGUGAAGUCGUAACAAGGUAAC